CUACGGAUGUACUUUAACUUAUUCUGAGAUGAAAUUCAUCGUCGCCAUAGUUUUUUCCUCAAUGGUGUUUUGCCAACUCUACUCUGCCGUCCACUGUCAACAUGAACCAUAUAAUACAAUGCUUCGACGAUAUGGACUUUUACCAGUAUGCACCUCACCAAGUAAAGAAGGCAUCGUUUUUAUCAAAUGCGCCAUCUUCAUCCCGAUUUAAAAGGCGUUUGACUUGCAUCUGAUACUAUAAAUAUAUUCAAUCGUCAAAUUAGUCACAGAAACAAGUGUAACUAGAGAAAAUAUUAAAGAAAUCUUCUUAA
Long non-coding RNA from Neodiprion fabricii, 311 nucleotides. RefSeq lists it as uncharacterized. The record is from RefSeq and is a predicted model, not a curated record. The transcript is spliced from 2 exons. Lineage: Eukaryota; Metazoa; Arthropoda; Insecta; Hymenoptera; Diprionidae.